This 4637-nucleotide long non-coding RNA is filed under the name Zostera marina. RNAcentral describes it as "long non-coding RNA (ZMAR_LNC002074)". Lineage: Eukaryota; Viridiplantae; Streptophyta; Magnoliopsida; Alismatales; Zosteraceae. The record is from RNAcentral.
ACACAUUCUGAUCAUAAAAUCGAAUGUCAUCUGUAAUUAGUUUAAAGCUCGCAAGGCUUCUCUUCUUACUAUUUCUAUGUGAUAUCCAUGAGAUCGAUGCAAAUAUUGUAGCCGAUAAUGGGUCCAAUCGUCGAAUUACAGUUGUUACUUCACCAGUUAAAGGUGUAGCUGAAAAUCCACCAGGCAUCGUAGCUGGUAUAGUCAACCGGAAGUAGAUGAACCAUGUAGACAUCCUUGUCCUUAGUUAAUCAUUGAGUCAUGGUACCGUUAUUAUAUGAAGUGUAAUUGUGUGUUCAUCGACAAAAUAUCAAAGAAAAAUAUUUGGUAAUUCAGAUUAUAUUUAUGGUAUCAAAUUAUAGUAAAAUAUUGUAAUAUGAGAUCUGAUAAUACCAACUCCUGUACAAGGAGUAUGGCCUGAAAAUAGGUACAAAUGUUCAAAAAAGAUCAGAUAUUGCAAACAGACAUUGGGAUCUAAGCCAUGUCCAAAUCGAGUUUUCCACCCAUGUUUAUUGUUGGUAGGAAGACAUAUCAAAUUGUUGGCCACUUUCAAGCCACCGACUGGAAAUCUGGUCGAUCUAAAAGGGCUCGUCUUCUUCUGACGAGAUGUGCAGUGUGUGAGAUGGCUGAAAUCAGAGAUCCCUAAUCAAUCAGAUUAGGGGUGCGUGAGCAGCAGAAUGGGAGUUGGAAAAUCAGUUGUUUCCAAAUACAACAGUUAGGUGAGUCAAAUUGUAUUGAAAAACCCUUAAUUGUUUAAUUUACAAACAACUCUAGAGUUACUUAUGGGCUUAUGUCAGUAUUGGCCCAUUAGUUAUCAACUGAAAUAAAACUGAAAACUGAUUUAUAUUUUAAUAUUAACCUUAAAUAGAUAGUUAUUCUCUAACUAACUAAGUAGCUUAAUAAACCUAAUUGGCUGGGCUUUUUAUCUUCACACCCUCAGCUUUCUGUCCUUGUGAUCUUUCCCUUGAAUUUGAUAUUAAUCACAAUACUCCCCCCUCAAAUUGGGGAGUAGAUAUCAUCUAUGUCCAGUUUGACCAAUGCUUCAUUCAUGAGUGUUUCUCCUACUACUUUGGUGAAGAUAUCUACCAAUUGAGUGUUUGUACUUGUAUGUUUCAGUUUUAUAACUCUUUCUAAUUUUUCUCUUGAAAAAUGACAUGUCAUUUCAAUAUGCUUUGUUUUCUCAUGGAAAACUGAAUUUUCAGCAAUGUAUAUUGCUUAUUUGCUAUCACAAAGUAUAGUUGUUGGAUUAGUUGAGUUUAUGCCCAAUUUACCCAACAAUUGUCUUAACCAUACUAUCUCACAUAACACAAAGCACAUUGCUCUGUAUUCUUCCUCAGCAGAGGACAGUACCACUGUCUUUUGUUUACUAAAUUUCCAAGAAAUUAGGUUGUUUCCUAAUUGUACACAAAACCCAGUCAUAGAUUUUCUGGUUAGGGUGCAUGAACCCCAAUCAGCAUCACAGUAAGCUUUAAGUUCUAAGUUUUUGUUGUUUGAUAUUAAGAGUUAUUGCCCUGGUGCUUUCUUUAGGUAUCUCAGAAACUUGUAUACUGCCUUCAAGGUGCAUCUGUGUGGGUUUCUCCAUAAACUGACUCAGAAUUCUUACUGUGUAAGUUAUGUUAGGUCUAGUGACAUUGAGAUAUAUUAAUCUAUCUAUUAAUCUCCUAUAUAUAAAAGGAUCUUUAAGUUCUUUUGAUUGAUCAUUUCUCCAAUCAAUCCCUUUUUCCAUAGGAAUUUUUGAAUGCUUAGCUCCUAUAGAAGUCCAUUUUCUUUUAGAAGGUCCAGAGUAUAUUUUCUUUGGUUUAGAAAUAUUUUAUUUUCCGAAUGAGAGAACACAAUGCCUAAAAAAUAAUUUAGUCUCCCAAGUUCUUUUAUUAUGAACUUUUCUUGUAAUUUUAGCUUUAGAUCUGAAAUUUCAUAAUUUGAGUUUCCAGUUACUAUUAUAUCAUCUACAUAUACUAGUAGAUGGAUAGUAUUUUAGUUUUCAUUUCUUGUAAAGAGUGAGUAGUCUGAUUUGCAUUGUUUAAAGUUUAAUGCUAUUAGUAUACUCUUUAGUUUUGCAAACCAUUGUCUAGAGGCCUGUUUUAGGCCAUAUAUGAAUUUCUUAAGCUUACAUACUCUUGAAUCUCCCUCUUUGAGGAGAUUUGGAGGUGGCUUUAAAUAAAUUUCUCCAGUUAAUUCCCCAUGCAAAAAUGCAUUAUUUACAUCUAAUUGAUAUAAUUCCCAUCCUUUGGUGCAAGCUAUUGCUAUCAACACUCUUACUAUUGCCAUCCUGGGGGACGUUUCCCCAUUCAUUAGUGUGGGGCCCACUCCAUUAUGGUGCCCAAUUAAGGCUGCCAUAAUAACGUGGGCCCUCCCAAGUAACGGCUGGGAAUCGGCGACUCAGGUAUGGGAGUCGCCGAUUCAGAGGUGUGGUCGCCGACUCCCCAUGAGCCAAGUUGGCAGUCUACCAGAACUGACCACGAGGCCGAGAGUCGGCGAUUCACCCCUGGAGUCGGCGACUUGGUAGUCCCAAUCGACGAUUCCAAGGUGUUGCCUUGAGUACUUGACGUAGAUACUUCCUCCGCAUUUGUGGAACUCUCCGGGGGUCCAGCAUAAAGAGGCGGAACCCUAUUCCUUGUUGAAGGGCGUUGCUAGGAAUGACUGACGUAAUCAGGCAUGUCUCACCAGUACUCUCCCCUGAAAAGAGCACAAGAAACAUGCGUGUACCGCCAACCCAAUUUGGAUUAUUUGUAGCCUCUUUGAAUGUCCUUGGCUCUUUGUUUAUUGUUAUGUUUUGAUUAGGUUUUUAUGUUUGUUUUUCAGUCUAUGAUAUGAUAUAGACUUACUUAAUGAAUGUUUUUUGCUAAAAUUUGUUGUUUCAUAUUCUUCCUGAUCAUAAUAUAGGAAGUUUUUAUCCCUGUGUUUAUUUGAUUUUAUUCUGUUUGAUACUCUUUUUGUAUUCAAUUAUUUUUCUAUCUCUGUGAUAGAUUGAUGGUAUUUUCUUUUUGAUUUGCUUCUCUGUUUUCAAUACUUUCUUGAAAAGAAUAUGAUGAAAUGCUCAUGUAUGAGUUAUUCAUAAAUCCAUGAAUAUUCAUUUCUUCUGUUGGCUGAAUCUCAUGACUCAUAUCAUUUCUUUAUUAUCUCUUGUUUCUGUCAAAUCAUUUGAUUUUGGCACAUCUUCUAAUAAGUUUUCUGUGCAAGGUUUAUUAUUUUCUUGUUCAAUCCUUUGCCCAGAUAUAUUGUUUUUGGAAUUUAGACUUCCUAAAAUCUCAUUUGAUCCAUUGGGAUCAGUGGAGCAUUUUAUAAUGAAAUUUUCAUUUUCAUUAUUUAUGCUUUGAGGAGUAUCUAUAUAGUCAUCCUCUAUUCUUAAUUUGAUUUGAUAUUCUAUUUCAUCAAUUUUUUUGUGAAUUUUUAUUAUUUUCUUUUAUUGAUUUAUUUUUAUCAUUAUCUUUGUAGAUAUUGUUUUAAUUUCUGUUAAUUUAGACAGAUCAUGGUUUAAAUUAUUCAUAUAUUGAAUAAAUGGUUCAAAUAUAGUUUGAUUACCAUUUAUUUUUGUAAUGUCUCUUUUAAUAUUUAUAAAGGAACACAUUUUCUUUGAAAGUGACAUUCCUACUGGUAAAUAUCUUACCAGUUUCAAGGUCCUGAAUCAAAAAACCUUAAAUUCCUUGGAGAUAUCCCAACAAGAUUCCUCUGUUGACCUUAUUUGAGAAUUUAUUCUCUUUUUCAGUGUUAUUUGCAUAACACAAACAACCUAUGGUUUUUACAUAACCAUAGUCAAUUUCUUUGUUAUUUAACACCUCAUAUGGUGUUUUAUAUCCUAAAGAUUUUGAACUAAUUCUAUUCAUGAUGUGUGCUGCAUUUAAGCAACAUAGUCCCUAAAUUUUUUUGGAAAAUAGGCUUGUAUUUUUAAUGCUCUGGCUAUAUUCAAAAUGUCUCUAUGUUUCCUUUCUACCUUACUAUUUUGUUGUGAAGAAUAAGGACAUGAGAAUUGUUGAAUCAUUCCAUUAUUUUUUUUUAAAUUGUAAUAUCUUUUGUUUUAAACUCCAAUCAAUUAUCAGACCUAAUCACUUUAAUUUGAAUCUGAAAUUGAGUUUUUAUCAUUUUAAUGAAUUCGAUGAUUAUUUGAGUUACUUCUGAUUUAUUUGCCAUCAAAUAAAUCCAAGUAAAUCUACUUUUAUCUUCUACAAUUGUGAGAAAAUAAUUUUUUUUGUUAUAUGUUGAUUGGGAAAUUUUCCCCAAAUAUCAACAUGUAUUAAAUCAAAUGUUUUUAGAGAAGAGGUAUAACUCUUUUUAUAUUUCAAUCUGAUUUAUUUUGCCAUUGGACACACAUCAUAUUUAUGAAAAACGUCUUUUUUAUUAAAAUCAUUCAAUCUGAAAUUAUUACAAGCAUAUCUAGCUAGUUUCUUAAUUUUUUAAAAAGAAAUGUGCCCAAGUCUGUUGUGCCAAGUUCUGAUAUCAGUGGCACAGCAAGCAACAACUUCUUUUAUGAACCAGUAUAUUCCAUUGAAGGGUCUACCUAGUCCAAUCAGUUUCUUUGAUGCUUUGUCCUGAUGAAAAUAACAUAAUUCUUCAUCAAAUAUGACUAAAACUUUAGAAGAUUUGGAUAGCUUUUCUACUGAAAUUAAAUUUGUUUUAAAAGUUGGGAUGUAUCAAGAGAGAGG